GAUCCAAGGAGGCGUUCUGCCUCGAGACUG
Molecule: small RNA, 30 nt
Filed under: Bombyx mori (domestic silkworm)
Lineage: Eukaryota; Metazoa; Arthropoda; Insecta; Lepidoptera; Bombycidae
Description: ovarian small RNA-16104
Source: RNAcentral